GAUGAACGCUGGCGGCGUGCUUAACACAUGCAAGUCGAACGGAAAGGCCCAAGCUUGCUUGGGUACUCGAGUGGCAAACGGGUGAGUAACACGUGGGUGAUCUGCCCUGCACUUCGGGAUAAGCCUGGGAAACUGGGUCUAAUACCGGAUAGGACGAUGGUUUGGAUGCCAUUGUGGAAAGUUUUUUCGGUGUGGGAUGAGCUCGCGGCCUAUCAGCUUGUUGGUGGGGUAAUGGCCUACCAAGGCGUCGACGGGUAGCCGGCCUGAGAGGGUGUACGGCCACAUUGGGACUGAGAUACGGCCCAGACUCCUACGGGAGGCAGCAGUGGGGAAUAUUGCACAAUGGGCGCAAGCCUGAUGCAGCGACGCCGCGUGGGGGAUGACGGCCUUCGGGUUGUAAACUCCUUUCGCUAGGGACGAAGCGUUUUUGUGACGGUACCUGGAGAAGAAGCACCGGCUAACUACGUG
RNAcentral lists this ribosomal RNA (468 nucleotides) under uncultured bacterium. RNAcentral's name for it is "partial 16S ribosomal RNA". It matches the Rfam family "Bacterial small subunit ribosomal RNA", at positions 28 to 507 of the family's 1533-position model. The record is from RNAcentral.